CUCUGGCCCAUGGGCUGGGGCCCAGGAGGUCUAUUUAAGCUCAGACCUGGGCUUUGCUUUGUUUAUGCAGUAGGUGGAUCUGUUUUCCUGACCUUUUGGAUAGACUUUGGCCUUGCACUCAGUCAAGAAUUAAAAAGAUUACCUAAAAGCCUACACUCCUCAGUGCUUUUCACCAUGAGAGCUCAAUAAAUACUUGAAAGGGUUGCCCAAAAAAUUUCAGCUGGACUUGAUUUUAGAAAUGCAGGCUUUGGAUUUCAGGAGAUACUGGUGAGGAAUACAGGGAUGAAGGAGAGCUGCUUUGCAGACCAUUUAAGAGGAAGUGAGCAAGUACAAACUCCAGAAGUUAAUUUUCAGCUGAGCAAGAAACUUUGCUCUCCUGGGGAACAAGGAAGUACAUGACUCCAAAAGCUUUGUAUGUGCACCAGCCAUCAAGAAGAUCAAAGAAUUCAGCUGUCUAGCUAUACUACAUAUCCAGUGCCAAGAAGGAGACUAGUAACUAUGCCUGGGGUGGGAAAUGUUCCUGCAUACCACAAGUACCAGCGUGGCAGGAGGUGCAGAAAGGUUAAUUCUUGAGGGGAGCAUGAUACUUAUCCAGUAUGAAUUCUGAGUUGUUGAAAAAAAUCACAUUAUGCCAGGGCUCAUGGGCCAUCACUGUUAUUAUCCUGUAAAUAUGCUAACAGAGAGAAGAUGGCAAACUAAGAGUACCUUACCUGUGUCAGUCAGUGACUGAAAUCCAUCCUCCUCAGUUGGUAGUCAAUGUUUUAACUGAAAAAGCAGUUAUGUGUCACUGUGCACUGUGAUACUGUACAGCUUCUCUGCUGGGACUUGGGGUAGUUAUGGUACAGGCUGUUUCCAGUGCACCAGCCUGCAGCAACCUCUGUCAGCUAUGCCUGUGGAUCAGCUUGCCCUGCUUUGCUGCUGGCACUUUCACUCACAUGUGAUCUGUGUCCUGCUGAAACCUUACCCACUGUAGACCUCGUCUCUGCAUCCACUUGCUGCUUCCAAAGAGCCUGGACAUACUAUGCAAGUUUUGUUGAAAUGCACAUCGAGGCACAAAGCACAAUGGCAUACAUGUGGCAGUGAAGCAGCACCACUGGAUCAGGCUUUGCCUUCUGCUUCACUAUUUUCACUGCUCAGUGGCAUCCAGGGCUGUAUUCAGCUGGCCUAAAUUCUGCCCACAUUUCUGUGCCAGACUCCUAUGAACUGGCUUUGGGUCUUCAGAGGAGCUGAUGUCAGUAGGCACCUCUGCACUAAGGGAUUUGAAGGAAUCUAUGCAAUCUCCUGGGUAUUUAUUGUCAUUGGGGUGGAUUUUCCUGCUACCCCUGGGUACACAUGACUUUAGACUCCAGUUCUGCUCCCUGAGAUGUAGGGUAUUGUCUUUCCUCUCAGUUUACACUCUAGCCCAGCAUCUGUUUCUGACCAGAACUGCUGGGGCAGACUUAGAGGAAAAUGGUAACAAAGGGGAAAGCAGCCCUAAUACUACGCUGAUAUAUUGGAACAAUCUGUGUCUCGAGGAUAUCUGAACCCAAGGUGGUAUCUUUGUAUUACUAAUGUAUUAAUAAUAGCCAUUCAAAGCACUGCACAUUGACAAGGCACAGUAUAAAUGUCAUGUAAGAAGGUGUGCCUACUUCUCUUAAGAGACUGCAAACUCAGAUUAGACUUCAGUGAUGGAGAUGGAAAUAGGUUGUCUGCUCAUGUAAAAGUUUAUGGGGAGAAGGAACAGAGUAGGUUGGUGACAUGAUGGGCUGGGGAGUAUAAAAAGUAUAAAAGUAUAAAAAACAAUAAUAAGGGGAAAAUGAAGGUACGAGUGGGAAAAGACAGAAGGGAGCAAACAAUGUAUCAGCAGAGUGAAAUUGCUGUAAGAAGUUGCUUUACUAAUGUGAAUCAAGAGUGUGGAUGGAUUAUGUGGGACAAGUGGAGGAGUCUAGGAGGUGAGCAGAUGGAUGUGAAAAAGAGAAUGGAUUUGUUGCGGUAGGGCAGCCAAAACUGGAGACCAAUGGAACAGAGGUGGAGAAACUGGGCAGCAAAAGAAAUGAAGCUAAAAAGACCUGUUACAGAAGAGAAAAUAAAGUGCUGAGGUUAGAGGCUUUAAGGAAGAGAGGGGUGUAUUUGAUGUAGGUAAGGAGAAUUGAGUAUUGUAAAGACAAGCAGAGAUACAGGCUUGAGCAGUAAGAAGAAAGUAAAGUGAGGGAAGGGGAGCAGAUGAGGGUGAGGAAAGGAGUCUGGCUUGCUCCAAAGUCCAAAGGGAAUAUGAAGAUGCUAAGUAGAGGAACAAAGUGAACUGUAGCCUAAAUAUGACCUUAAAACCAGGGAAGUCAGAUGCUAGAAAAGUGCAAGUCUUCAAGGAUAUGUGAGCAGUCGAGACUACUCUCAGCAGGACAAACCUGACUGGAAACAGCUGUCCCUUAUGUGGAUUUUUCCUGCUCUCUUUUUCAACUUAACUCACAAGAGGAACAACCAAGAGUCUGUGGGAUCUGUCUCAGUUACCUCUACUCCCUUUGAAGCACCAUCCUCCUUACCUCCUUUUGUGGCCAGUUUUCCACUUUCUUCCUAGCAACUGUUAGGCUGUAAGGGAUGAUGACAAACUUUGGCAUUGCAAAUGCCAGCAGACCCCUUUUCCUAUUGCAGCUGAAGACUAACCUUGGCUUUUUCAGAGCAUGGUAGGAGACAUUCAUUCACACCAGACUCUCCCUGCUGGUUGGAGAGUCAUGUGCAAACAGUCUACUUGUAUAUGCAUGUUCAAAAAUGGGCAAGUUGUAUUCAACCUCUGAGGGAAAGCAGCAGGAAAAUCAGGUUGUAAGAUAUUUAAGACUCAGAUACUUGCUUCCAAGACAAAUUAAUAUUCAGCAAAUGAUGCAAAGCAAAACUUUUUAAACAGUGCCACCAGAAAAUGCUCUUUGACUCUUCUCCACUGUCUGGCUUAUGUCUUCUCUGAACCCUUAUCACAAUGUGCCCUCUAAAUUCUGAGGUCCUAACUUGCUCUCAUCCAGUGCAGAGAGAAUUUCUGAGAUAAUAUGUACCUUUGUGUAAGAUAUCUUCUUUCCAGAAACAUGAGAGAAGAUCUGAAGAGAUCACUCUUCCAGGGCAAAGUUAGCCUGUCUGCACACCUGUCUAUUCUGCCAGAAAUCCUAUUUUUAACAUGGCUUGUGACAGUGGCUGACUCCUUGUUUGCUUAGAAAUGAGGUGCAAGUAUGGAAGGGCAUGGACUGGAGUGCACGGGGACCAACAAGGGCCUGACUUGAUCAGCUUCAACAGGCUUUGGAUCAGGCCUACAGUGACUGUUUGCAUGAGGGCUGGUGUGAGUAGGCUGAGAAGGGAUGUGGUCUAUGGCAGGAUCACUGCAGAGAAAGGAUGGUGCUUUACUGGGGGUGGAAAAUGGAAUUGUCACCGUGGAAUGAAUGAAUUGUACAGUUUCUCUUUUGUAACCCAGGGAAUAAUUAAGAUAGAUGGGUAGAUGAAUUAGCUGUCCUGCAAGGUCAAAAGUGGAUUGCCUUAUUACUCUAUUAUUUCACUGUUGUGGAACUAUCACCACUAACGCCUUUUUCAUGAUAUUUUGUACAUCGCACCAAAAAAAAAAAAAGGGGAAAAAAGAAAAAAGGGGGGGAGAUACAAAUUGAUCGUUUGCUGGUGAAAUCAGUCUUCGUCAUCGCCAGCAGUGCUUGGAUUAAUGGGAUUGAAGGCUGCUGGAGGUUCAGCCAGAGAGACGGGCGGAAAAACAAGAGAAAUUGGUUUGCACCCCUGGGAAUGGAAUUGAUGUGACUUGCACAGAGCUGCUGCAGCAGUGGUGGCUGCUAUGCUGUGAUGCUGCUUUUUUAAAAAACACAGAAGGGAGAUGGGAGAACAAAAUAAAUCCCUAGCUGGAAUACUGGGUCGUUACAAACAUGGAUGAUAAUCUUCUAGCAUGUUUGGGAGAUCCAGAGAGUUUGUUUGCUGGAAGCCUUUAGGAAAAAAUAGAGGACAGUCUUUGAAAAACACAGAUGCUUCCUGGUGGCUUUCUGCUAUUUCUGUGGGGUUUUAAAGAUGAGGUUUGGGACAAGCACUAGAAGCUGGACAUUAUUCACAUUAAUGGCAAAUAAUCUCAAAUCUACACAGCUGGCCAUAGAGAUCUUCCAAAUGGGUAAAGGCCAUUACGUGGACAGAAGUAGAGGACCCCAAUAUGAUAGACAUGGUUGUAGAAUGACAGAAAUGGUGGAACCAGGGACAUGUUGAUUUAGGUCAUUGUAUCAUUGGCCUAACAGUGACAGAAAGAAAUAUGGUGGAGAGGAAAACUUGUAGUUAGUCUUCCCAUUUCCAGUGCCAAGAAGUGACACAGAUACACUUGUUUGCUUCUGAGUUUUUUGCUUGAAUUCUAGUAAAUAAGGAUUUUGAGAGAUCUGAACUUCUGAAGGGGAGACAGCUAAUUUGCUCACAAGAAGUUCUGCUUAUGCUUGGCAUUGUGCUUAUAGUUGGUCACGUUUUCCUCAGGCACCAUGAGCAGCAACAGAGAGGACCCAAGUCCAUGCACAGUCAGUGUCAAGGGUCUUCCCUGUGGACAGGCACUCUUUCUGUGUUUACCCAGUGCUAGCAGAUGAUGGUCCAGGGUAGAUGCAGCACAAAACUCUGAAGUGCUGAAGUUCAUGCUAUGCUUGACUGCUUUUAAGCAACAGCAUGCAUAAUGUUUAUCUGAUUACUUAACAGCAGUGCUAUUAAAAGUGACUUUCCAAAUGUGGUGCUGGAUCUGAGGAAGAUGAAAUCAGCACAAGAUUUUUUUUGUGUUAGCUAGAGAUCUGGCAGAUUGCUUCCUCAGAAAUAUUUUCCUUUUAUGCUGUUGCUUUUUGGUCAACACUGAUGCCAGUUUUGAGGAAAUCUAUCUUUGAGAUUGAAAGAGGGAAGCCCAGAUUAUUUCUGAAACUUUUGCAUGUGGUUUAAGAUUGAAAUACCAAACUCACAGCUGUGUACUAUUCACAGAGAGUCAAACCAAGACUGGAUAUGAUUUUCCAAUUCAUGACUGACUACAGGAGCAUUUGCCUUAAAUAAGUCUAUCUACAAUGUAAUAGUGUGUAGGGCAAAUGUCCUCUGUGUUUUACCUUUCCUUGGUUCCUGGGCUACACUCUUGAUUAUGCAAGAUGAUGUUUUAAAAUUGGCCAUGAACUCGAG
This is a long non-coding RNA of Passer domesticus (house sparrow), 5136 nucleotides long. RefSeq lists it as uncharacterized. NCBI's taxonomy places the organism in Eukaryota, Metazoa, Chordata, Aves, Passeriformes, Passeridae. The transcript is spliced from 4 exons. The record is from RefSeq and is a predicted model, not a curated record.